Molecule: long non-coding RNA, 631 nt
Organism: Oncorhynchus keta (chum salmon)
Lineage: Eukaryota; Metazoa; Chordata; Actinopteri; Salmoniformes; Salmonidae
Exons: 3
Source: RefSeq, a predicted model, not a curated record
AACGCGAGUGCGCGCGCACACGUUUCUUUUACUGUCCUUGUGGGGACCUAAAAUGUAUUUCCAUUAAUUUCCCCUAACCCUUAAUCCUAAUUGUAAACCUACAUUUAUAGUCCUAGUCCUGAGAAAUGUCCCCACGAAGGAGAAUUUCUUGUUACACUAUCCUUACUAGCCCACACUCCCCAGUAGUGUUAGAAUAGUAAGCCCCCCACACCACAGUAGUGUUAGAAUAGUAAGACCCCCACACCACAGUAGUGUUAGAAUAGUAAGACCCCCACACCACAGUAGUGUUAGAAUAGUAAGACCCCCACACCACAGUAGUGUUAGAAUAGUAAGACCCCCACACCACAGUAGUGUUAGAAUAGUAAGACCCCCACACCACAGUAUAGUGUUAGAAUAGUAAGACCCCCACACCACAGUAGUGUGUUAGAAUAGUAAGACCCCCACACCACAGUAGUGUUGUAGAAUAGUAAGACCCCCACACCACAGUAGUGUGUUAGAAUAGUAAGACCCCCACACCACAGUAGUGUGUUAGAAUAGUAAGACCCCCACACCACAGUAGUGUGUUAGAAUAGUAAAACAAAAACACCACAGUAGUGUGUUAGAAUAGUAAAACAAAAACACCACAGUAGUG